Long non-coding RNA from Mesocricetus auratus (golden hamster), 1829 nucleotides. RefSeq lists it as uncharacterized. The record is from RefSeq and is a predicted model, not a curated record. NCBI's taxonomy places the organism in Eukaryota, Metazoa, Chordata, Mammalia, Rodentia, Cricetidae. The transcript is spliced from 3 exons.
CAUGGAUUAUUCCUUCCAGGUUGAUUUGGUUCUGGUUUGAUCAGGGGAGACCUCCUGAAUCCUGACAGCUGAUAUCUAUCAACCAAGAUUAUAACUUGCCUUCCCAGGACGGACAUUAUCUCCAAUUUUCUUCUCAAGGACCCAUGGGGAUAUCUUGGCCCACAGCCAGCAGGAAGUGAAAACUGAGAAAUGGAGCACCAGCAAGACUCAGAGGGCCUCUGUCAGUAAGCCUCAGAACAGGCUUCCACAGCAAAGAAUGGCUGUGUCUUCCCAGCAAGGUCUAUGCAUAUGCUGAGGGACAAUCAGUUCUCUGUGCUUCCUCUCCCCGGCAUCCAGAAGACACCUUCACUAACGCUUACAUGACUGAGGCCUGCAAGACUCAAGUGGGACACUGGUAAUGGAAUCUGAAGAUAAUAUUUAUUGUUGUGAAGCCUUUGAGCUGGUCAUUUACCAAGACCUGCUUGCUGGGAGAAGACUCUGAGUGGGACAUCUGCUGCGACAGAUACUGUAUCAAUGUUCCCAUCACAGUUGUCAGAAAACAGUGCCCUGCAGUGAGCCAGAUAUGUCUUCCUGGGGAUGACUUCUGAAACCUGAAAUGCUUUCCCGUGAUGUCCCCUCACAGUAAUUGAUGGAUCCCCUUCCAGGCCUUGGGUUUGGUUUAGAAGAGUGGAGGCAAGGAUAUCAGGAUAUUGGAGCUGGCCUGUUCAAUAUGAACUGAAUGUUUGCCUGGAAGAAGUGUCCACAGGGGCUUUUACUUGCUGUGAAAGUCCUGCUUGGGAUUCUUCCUCUCUUUAUUCAUGCAUAUCCAUUUCCUUUUCUGCAUUCAUUUCUCACAUUUUAAGCAAUGCACUCAACUCUGAUUCAUUGUUUAAAAUGUUAGCUUCCUAAACUGUGUGAACCAUCCGACUUGAAUGCAGUGCCCUUCCCUUGCUGAAAUUCACACCUGCGGAAGAAACUAGUUUCAGGCACGUGUACUGGUGCCCGAUACCUUUGUCAGGGUGUUGGAUUUGUGUGUCUUACUUCUAGUUGGAUGAUGUAAAGACAAUAGGAGAGGAAGGAAGACAAUAGGGAUGUGAAUGAUAUACAUGUCUUUUGCUUUGGAUGUACCAUGUUCCCCGCAGGCUCAGUCAUUGGAAUAGUUGCUCCCGAUCUAAAGGUGCUGCUUUGGGGUUUUAUGAAACCCCUGGGAAAUAGGUCCUCACUGAUAGGUGUACGCCACUGGAGAUAGAACUUAAGGGUUACAGGUCCUGGCUUCCGGUUCGGUUUUCUGUUUCCUGGUCAGUCAUACCAUGGGAGAAGCUGUCUCUGAAAAUAUCACCCCCCACAGACAGGGUUGUCCUAGCUGCCAUGAAUCCCCUCCAUAAUAGACAGUAUGCAUCAAAGCUGUGGUCCAACAGAAACUCUGCCUCCCAUGAAGUUGCUUUAACCACAUACUAUGUCACACCAGUGAGAAAAGUAACAAGUACAAUCCAUUAUGAUGAAACUCAUUGUUGUUUAUGCUAACAAAAAUUAAUGAAAGAAGAUUCCAUUUCCUGACAUGAUGGAUUGAUCACAUGACACUCCCCACCCCCCCCACCCCAUCUCUGAUCAGUCUUGCCAUGUCCUGCACAGUAGGGUACCUUUCCAUGCCAAGUGAUCGCAGUUAUGAUGUGCUUUGCCAGAUAGAAGUAAACUAAGCACACACACAAAGACAGAUACACAGAGAGACAGGGAGACAGGGAGACAGAGAUAUAGGACUAGAAAGGUCUUCAGCUCCAGAACUGCCCAGACAGCUCUCCAGUUCCCUACUGGAAACAAAUUGUUAAAACAAAAAAAAUAAAUAAAAUAAA